CUACGGGUGGCAGCAGUGGGGAAUAUUGGACAAUGGGGGCAACCCUGAUCCAGCCAUGCCGCGUGUGUGAAGAAGGCCCUCGGGUUGUAAAGCACUUUCAGUGAGGAAGAACGCCUGGUGGUUAAUACCCAUCAGGAAAGACAUCACUCACAGAAGAAGCACCGGCUAACUCCGUGCCAGCAGCCGCGGUAAUACGGAGGGUGCGAGCGUUAAUCGGAAUUACUGGGCGUAAAGCGCGCGUAGGUGGCUUGAUAAGCCGGUUGUGAAAGCCCCGGGCUCAACCUGGGAACGGCAUCCGGAACUGUCAAGCUAGAGUGCAGGAGAGGAAGGUAGAAUUCCCGGUGUAGCGGUGAAAUGCGUAGAGAUCGGGAGGAAUACCAGUGGCGAAGGCGGCCUUCUGGACUGACACUGACACUGAGGUGCGAAAGCGUGGGUAGCAAACAGGAUUAGAUACCCUAGUAGUC
This 464-nucleotide ribosomal RNA is filed under the name Vreelandella stevensii. RNAcentral's name for it is "partial 16S ribosomal RNA". It matches the Rfam family "Bacterial small subunit ribosomal RNA", at positions 339 to 795 of the family's 1533-position model. The record is from RNAcentral. Lineage: Bacteria; Pseudomonadati; Pseudomonadota; Gammaproteobacteria; Oceanospirillales; Halomonadaceae.